GGGGUUGUAGCUUAGUGGUAGAGCUUUGCCUGAAAUGUGUGAGCCCCUGGGUUCAAUCCCCAGCAACACCA
This 71-nucleotide transfer RNA is filed under the name Heterocephalus glaber (naked mole-rat). It matches the Rfam family "tRNA". Rfam says of the family: Transfer RNA (tRNA) molecules are approximately 80 nucleotides in length. The record is from Rfam by way of RNAcentral. Lineage: Eukaryota; Metazoa; Chordata; Mammalia; Rodentia; Bathyergidae.